GUCUGUGGGCAUACCACCCUGAACGUGCCUGAUCUCGGAAGCUAAGCAGGGUCGGCCCUGGUUAGUACUUGGAUGGGAGACACACAAAGCAGGAGGGCAAGAACCCUGAGACCGAGAGCU
Non-coding RNA from Otolemur garnettii (small-eared galago), 120 nucleotides. The record is from Rfam. NCBI's taxonomy places the organism in Eukaryota, Metazoa, Chordata, Mammalia, Primates, Galagidae.